RNAcentral lists this long non-coding RNA (304 nucleotides) under Elaeis guineensis (African oil palm). Its description in RNAcentral is "long non-coding RNA (EGUI_LNC002693)". Lineage: Eukaryota; Viridiplantae; Streptophyta; Magnoliopsida; Arecales; Arecaceae. The record is from RNAcentral.
UGUCCUCUUAAUCAAGGAGUGUGGUGACACUGGUAUGGCAUACAGAUCAAAUAUAGGAGUACAUCGUCACUGAACAAGUGACUCUUCUGCUGAGUAUUCUACUGUCAAGAACUUCUCACGAAGCAUAUGAAUAUAAAUAUCCCUCAGACCCAAGAUUAUCAUAGUAACUUGCAAGCAACUCAUUAUGCUUUGGUGUUGGACUAUCUGAAUUUCUAAUGCAGUGACGGAAGGCUACUGGAUACAGUCAAGUACUUAUGAAGUCUGUGUGUGGAUCAAGAUGAGAUUGACCCCUCUGGAUUAUUGA